GUUCUUGGCGUCGUUAGUGGCACUACGUUCCACUUUUUAUUCUUUAAAUACCUUGUUCUACUGCUAUCUUAUUUCUGAUCCAGAAGCUAAAUCGCAGAAUUAUUUAUAAAGAAACAAAGCCGCAAGAGAUAAACAAACACAGUGCAGUAGACUCGAUGCAACGAAUGAAUCCGCAAAAUUGUGUUUGUCCCAUUUUCUUUUCUCCCAUUAGCUCUUCCCGCUCAUUUUUUUAAAUUUCCAGAAAAAGGGGUUAGGGUACUUUAAAACAAGGGGGAGGGUUAGGAAUGAAUCCAAGAUGGCCGCCGCUUCUUUGGGAAAAAUAAAAAAUUUCUCCCUCCUCCUCCGCUCCCGGCUCCCGCCAUACCUCUCUCAGUCUCAGUACUUAGUAGGCAUUUGUACGGCGGCCGUGUCACACGGUUUUGGAAACUCCGGAUAUGCUCUGAGUGGUAGCCACGUGAAGCAAAUGUUAAACUCGAUUACCCUGCCCAUAUUUAGAAUUGACAGUCUCUGUGCAACUAUCUUCACAUAGUUGCAAAGCCCAAUGUUUUCGAUGGAUUGACUGAGGACCGACAAUACCAGAUACCAGCACCUGGAUGGAAAGUUUAAUUUCUGCAACGCCAUCUCUCGGUUUGAAACGAGUGGCCUUUUCUUUUUGAAGGUAAGAUGUGCUAUUUUUAUUAUUCCCCUUGUAAUUAUUUUACGCUCUUGGCCCAACACGUACAGUAUUUGUGGUCGAAAAUUUUCAAUUUUACUG
This is a long non-coding RNA of Daphnia pulex (common water flea), 754 nucleotides long. RefSeq lists it as uncharacterized. Lineage: Eukaryota; Metazoa; Arthropoda; Branchiopoda; Diplostraca; Daphniidae. The transcript is spliced from 3 exons. The record is from RefSeq and is a predicted model, not a curated record.